UGGGGAAUAUUGGACAAUGGGCGCAAGCCUGAUCCAGCAAUGCCGCGUGUGUGAAGAAGGUCUUCGGAUUGUAAAGCACUUUCGGCGGGGACGAUGAUGACGGUACCCGCAGAAGAAGCCCCGGCUAACUUCGUGCCAGCAGCCGCGGUAAUACGAAGGGGGCUAGCGUUGCUCGGAGUUACUGGGCGUAAAGGGCGCGUAGGCGGCGGUGUCAGUCAGGCGUGAAAUUCCUGGGCUUAACCUGGGGGCUGCGCUUGAUACGGCAUUGCUAGAGGACGGAAGAGGGUCGUGGAAUUCCCAGUGUAGAGGUGAAAUUCGUAGAUAUUGGGAAGAACACCGGUGGCGAAGGCGGCGACCUGGUCCGUUACUGACGCUGAGGCGCGACAGCGUGGGGAGCAAACAGGAUUAGAUACCCUGGUAGUCCACGCCGUAAACGAUGUGCGCUGGAUGUUGGGGCUCUUAGAGCCUCAGUGUCGUAGCUAACGCGGUAAGCGCA
This 496-nucleotide ribosomal RNA is filed under the name uncultured Pseudomonadota bacterium. Its description in RNAcentral is "bacterial SSU rRNA". It matches the Rfam family "Bacterial small subunit ribosomal RNA", at positions 355 to 868 of the family's 1533-position model. Lineage: Bacteria; Pseudomonadati; Pseudomonadota. The record is from RNAcentral.